UACGUAGGUGGCAAGCGUUGUCCGGAAUUAUUGGGCGUAAAGCGCGCGCAGGCGGUCCCUUAAGUCUGAUGUGAAAGCCCACGGCUCAACCGUGGAGGGUCAUUGGAAACUGGGGGACUUGAGUGCAGAAGAGGAAAGUGGAAUUCCAUGUGUAGCGGUGAAAAGCGUAGAGAUGUGGAGGAACACCAGUGGCGAAGGCGACUUUCUGGUCUGUAACUGACGCUGAGGCGCGAAAGCGUGGGGAGCAAACAGG
Molecule: ribosomal RNA, 253 nt
Filed under: uncultured bacterium
Lineage: Bacteria
Description: partial 16S ribosomal RNA
Rfam family: Bacterial small subunit ribosomal RNA
Source: RNAcentral